This is a small nucleolar RNA of Pelodiscus sinensis (Chinese soft-shelled turtle), 82 nucleotides long. NCBI's taxonomy places the organism in Eukaryota, Metazoa, Chordata, Testudines, Trionychidae. The record is from RefSeq and is a predicted model, not a curated record.
GAGGUCUGUGAUGAUGCUGUCUCGGUGCUCGAGUGUCACAGCCAUGAGAGCGCCCGAUCCAUGCACUACCAUCUGAGACCGC